Molecule: long non-coding RNA, 517 nt
Filed under: Mytilus galloprovincialis (Mediterranean mussel)
Lineage: Eukaryota; Metazoa; Mollusca; Bivalvia; Mytilida; Mytilidae
Source: RNAcentral
AUGGAAAGCGACCACAAUACCCUAUGACCAUAUAUGGAAAUUAUGACCAAAUUUGGUAAGAACCUUAUUUUCACUCAAAAUAAACAUACAUGACCAUAUAUGGAAAUCGACAAAACAACCUAUGACCAUAUAUGGAAAUCAUGACCAAAUUUGGUAAAAACCUUAUUUCCGUUGAAAAAUCAAAAUAAAAUACAUGACCAUAUAUGGAAACCGACCAGAUACCCUAUGAUCAUAUAUGGAAAUGAUGACCAAAUUUGGAAAAAAACUUUUAUUUUCACUCAAAAAUCAAAAUAAACAUAUAUGACCAUAUAUGGACAACAGGUCACGUGAUCGUACCGAGGAACGUUAACUCUGGUACAAAACAAGGGAAGCAACUCUGUAUAUAUAUCUCUCGUGGAGUGACAAUUCAACGAGGCAAGGUCACGUGAUCGUAUCGAGGAACUCUGAUACAAAAAAGGGAAGCAACUCUUCAUGAUGUGAACAUCAAUCACCGAUUAAUCGUAUCGUGUUCGGGGCA